GUGCAAGAUUUGGAUGAACAUUAUUACUAUUAUUACAACAAUAAUGAGAAAGUGUUAAAGAAGAAGGGUGAGAUGAGCAAUAGCAACAAGAACGAUG
RNAcentral lists this non-coding RNA (97 nucleotides) under Paramoeba aestuarina. The record is from RNAcentral. Lineage: Eukaryota; Discosea; Flabellinia; Dactylopodida; Paramoebidae.